RNAcentral lists this ribosomal RNA (172 nucleotides) under uncultured Nitrobacter sp. RNAcentral's name for it is "partial 16S ribosomal RNA". It matches the Rfam family "Bacterial small subunit ribosomal RNA", at positions 335 to 524 of the family's 1533-position model. Lineage: Bacteria; Pseudomonadati; Pseudomonadota; Alphaproteobacteria; Hyphomicrobiales; Nitrobacteraceae. The record is from RNAcentral.
ACUCCUACGGGAGGCAGCAGUGGGGAAUGUUGGACAAUGGGCGCAAGCCUGAUCCAGCCAUGGCGCGUGAGUGAUGAAGGGCCUAGGGUUGUAAAGCUCUUUUGUGCGGGAAGAUAAUGACGGUAACGCAAGAAUAAGCCCCGGGUAACUUCGUGCCAGCAGCCGCGGUAAU